UGGAGAGUUUGAUCCUGGCUCAGAUUGAACGCUGGCGGCAGGCCUAACACAUGCAAGUCGAACGGUAGCACAGAGAGCUUGCUCUCGGGUGACGAGUGGCGGACGGGUGAGUAAUGUCUGGGAAACUGCCUGAUGGAGGGGGAUAACUACUGGAAACGGUAGCUAAUACCGCAUAACGUCGCAAGACCAAAGAGGGGGACCUUCGGGCCUCUUGCCAUCAGAUGUGCCCAGUAUGGGAUUAGCUAGUAGGUGGGGUAACGGCUCACCUAGGCGACGAUCCCUAGCUGGUCUGAGAGGAUGACCAGCCACACUGGAACUGAGACACGGUCCAGACUCCUACGGGAGGCAGCAGUGGGGAAUAUUGCACAAUGGGCGCAAGCCUGAUGCAGCCAUGCCGCGUGUAUGAAGAAGGCCUUCGGGUUGUAAAGUACUUUCAGCGGGGAGGAAGGCAUAAGGUUAAUAACCUUGUGAUUGACGUUACCCGCAGAAGAAGCACCGGAGAACUCAGUGCCAGCAGCCGCGGUA
RNAcentral lists this ribosomal RNA (525 nucleotides) under Klebsiella sp. EZ4. RNAcentral's name for it is "bacterial SSU rRNA". It matches the Rfam family "Bacterial small subunit ribosomal RNA", at positions 1 to 522 of the family's 1533-position model. Lineage: Bacteria; Pseudomonadati; Pseudomonadota; Gammaproteobacteria; Enterobacterales; Enterobacteriaceae. The record is from RNAcentral.